AGGUGGUGCAUGGUUGUUCGUCAGCUCGUGUCGUGAGAUGUGGUAAGUCCCGCAACGAGCGCAACCCUUGUCAUUAGUUGCCAUCAUUUGGUUGGGCACUCUAAUGAGACUGCCGGUGACAAACCGGAGGAAGGUGGGGAUGACGUCAAGUCCUCAUGGCCCUUAUGGGUAGGGCUUCACACGUCAUACAAUGGUCGGUACAGAGGGUUGCCAACCCGCGAGGGGGGAGCUAAUCCCACAAAGCCGAUCGUAGUCCGGAUCGCAGUCUGCAACUCAACUGCGUGAAGUCGGAAUCGCUAGUAAUCGUGGAUCAGCAUGUCACGGUGAAUACGUUCCCGGGUCUU
This 344-nucleotide ribosomal RNA is filed under the name uncultured Rhodocyclaceae bacterium. RNAcentral's name for it is "bacterial SSU rRNA". It matches the Rfam family "Bacterial small subunit ribosomal RNA", at positions 1036 to 1382 of the family's 1533-position model. The record is from RNAcentral. Lineage: Bacteria; Pseudomonadati; Pseudomonadota; Betaproteobacteria; Rhodocyclales; Rhodocyclaceae.